This 404-nucleotide ribosomal RNA is filed under the name Actinomycetes bacterium. Its description in RNAcentral is "Actinobacteria bacterium partial 16S ribosomal RNA". It matches the Rfam family "Bacterial small subunit ribosomal RNA", at positions 355 to 776 of the family's 1533-position model. Lineage: Bacteria; Bacillati; Actinomycetota; Actinomycetes. The record is from RNAcentral.
UGGGGAAUAUUGGACAAUGGGCGCAAGCCUGAUCCAGCCAUGCCGCGUGAGUGAUGAAGGCCCUAGGGUUGUAAAGCUCUUUCACCGGUGAAGAUAAUGACGGUAACCGGAGAAGAAGCCCCGGCUAACUUCGUGCCAGCAGCCGCGGUAAUACGAAGGGGGCUAGCGUUGUUCGGAUUUACUGGGCGUAAAGCGCACGUAGGCGGACUUUUAAGUCAGGGGUGAAAUCCCGGGGGUCAACCCCGGAACUGCCUUUGAUACUGGAAGUCUUGAGUAUGGUAGAGGGGAGUGGAAUUCCGAGUGUAGAAGUGAAAUUCGUAGAUAUUCGGAGGAAAACCAGUGGCGAAGGCGGCUCACUGGACCAUUACUGACGCUGAGGUGAGGAAGCGUGGGGAGCAAACAGG